GUGCUUACUUCAGCAGCACGUAUACUAAAACUGGAAUGAUACAGAGGAGAUGAGCAUGGCUGCUCAGCAAGGAUGACCCACAGAUUAGUGAAGAUUCCAUAUUUUAA
This 107-nucleotide small nuclear RNA is filed under the name Procavia capensis (Cape rock hyrax). The record is from RNAcentral. Lineage: Eukaryota; Metazoa; Chordata; Mammalia; Hyracoidea; Procaviidae.